AACCUCUAUCUUGAGAGAACAGAGGCAAUUUGGGUUUGGAGUUAAAAGUCCUGGUUUCAUUUCCCAGCUUAUCCCCCUUAGCCUUGAGACCUUGGGCAAGUCCUUGAACUUUUCUGAGUCUCAGUUACAUUCCACCAUCAAGAAAUAAUAAUGGGCCUCCCAUCUACUCCUUCAGAUUGCUUUGAGUUAAAAUGAGAUAAUGUCCCCUGAAUGCUAAAGUGUGAAAAAUCUGAAGAAAAAAAUAUAAAGCCAUGAAUUAGCAGCCUGCUCUUAAAAUGAUUACUAAUGUUGGUCAUUAUUACUAGCUUCAGCAUCAUCAUAUAUGAUUGUUUGAUUUUUAAAAAACCUGAUGAGAUUAAAACUUAUUUUGAAAGGAUGUUAAGUCCACAGAUAAAAAUGCACUGGGCUAUCAAAAUUUUAGACCCACCGACAUUUAUCGGUGAGAUCUUACCUGCCCCUUUUAUCUACCUCUUCCUCCUAUUUAUCCUUCUCAAUUCACUAUGAACAGAAAGAUCUGCCCUCAACAAAUAAAUACAGAUUCCCAUGAAAACCUGCCAAAAGGAAAACCAAAAGAGGAAGAGGAUAUAAGAUUUCUCAAGGUUCACUG
RNAcentral lists this long non-coding RNA (607 nucleotides) under Homo sapiens (human). RNAcentral describes it as "long non-coding RNA NONHSAT168060". Lineage: Eukaryota; Metazoa; Chordata; Mammalia; Primates; Hominidae. The record is from RNAcentral.